UGGGGAAUAUUGGACAAUGGGGGCAACCCUGAUCCAGCCAUGCCGCGUGAGUGAUGAAGGCCUUCGGGUUGUAAAGCUCUUUUGGCGGGGACGAUGAUGACGGUACCCGCAGAAUAAGCCCCGGCUAACUUCGUGCCAGCAGCCGCGGUAAGACGAAGGGGGCUAGCGUUGUUCGGAAUUACUGGGCGUAAAGCGCGUGUAGGCGGUUGCCCAAGUCGGAUGUGAAAGCCUUGAGCUCAACUCAAGAAAUGCAUUCGGUACUGGGUGACUAGAGGACCGGAGAGGAUAGUGGAAUUCCCAGUGUAGUGGUGAAAUACGUAGAGAUUGGGAAGAACACCAGUGGCGAAGGCGGCUAUCUGGACGGUUUCUGACGCUAAGACGCGAAAGCGUGGGGAGCAAACAGGAUUAGAUACCCUGGUAGUCCACGCCGUAAACGAUGGGUGCUAGACGUUGGCGAGCUUGCUCGUCAGCGUCGCAGCUAACGCGUUAAGCACCCCGCCUGGNGNGUACGGCCGCAAGGUUG
Molecule: ribosomal RNA, 523 nt
Filed under: uncultured bacterium
Lineage: Bacteria
Description: bacterial SSU rRNA
Rfam family: Bacterial small subunit ribosomal RNA
Source: RNAcentral